RNAcentral lists this long non-coding RNA (3329 nucleotides) under Panax ginseng (ginseng). Its description in RNAcentral is "long non-coding RNA (PGIN_LNC012246)". Lineage: Eukaryota; Viridiplantae; Streptophyta; Magnoliopsida; Apiales; Araliaceae. The record is from RNAcentral.
UCACUUUUCCCCCAAAUCAUUUUCCUCCUCUCCACCCAGGAACACGCCGAGAUGGUGCUCUUGCCUCUAUUCUCUCUCACUCCCUACCUCCACAACCAUCAAAAAUGGCCGCCGCUACUCGCUCCCUGGUUUCGAUUCAAACCCUUGAAUCCGACAUGGCCACCGACAGUCCAGACCCAUUCUUCAACAAGUAAUUAACCCCGCUCCUGUCCAUCCAAAACCCCCAAUUAAUUCAUCUUCUUCGGGUAUGUAUACAAUGUUGAAUAUAUAUAUAUAUAUAUAUAUAUAUACACACACACACUCACACACACAGCGGCAUGCUUAUGUUUUUACGCAUGUUUUUACUUAUAUUUUUCUUACCCUCAUUUGGGGUCUGUGUAUUUUCUGCACAUGUGUGAGGUAUUGUGUGAGUAUGUGGAAGAUUAAUCUUGUUCGUAGUUAGAAGUAGUCGGUAUGCACAUAGGCACAUAUGCUGAUUGUUGAUAUUGCUGAAUGAGUUAUUAUGGUCAUAUUACAUAAUAUGAAUGAUUUUUUCUAUUCCUCGUUUUCUCUGGUUCAUAUCUUUAGACUAAACCAAAUUAAAAUUAUAAAGGUACUUAACCAGGAUAGCUAGACCGUCAUAAACUAGAUUCCUUUCUUUAGGGAAUUUACCAUGUAUUUGAAAUUAUGUUUGUUUAAUAUAUUAAUAUGUCAGUACUUUGUUCCUGCAGAAAAUGAUAGGUAUAAAGGUAACCUCAUAUUAUAUGAUUCUCCUAUCUAGGAGCUUGAAUCUUUGUGUGCUAUAUAAAUUUCUGCAUUAAGAGUUUCACUAUUGUUUACUUAUAACAUGUUCUUAAUAUUGAUUUGUCUAAGGAUCCAGUUACUUUUUUCUGAUAGUUCUUAUUAUUGGUUCUUCCAGCUCUAAAAAUUUGUUCUGCCAGAAUGUUGUUAAAGAUGAUAGCUUAAUUUAAUACUUGUGGGUUGUAGUCCAUCUUUUGUUUAACCGGUAACUUCUUUGACUGAACAUUCAAAAAUAAUAGCUCAAGUUUUGUUAUUACUGUGGCCUCGAGGAGUGAUUAAUUCUUACAAAUUACACAAAUAGUUUAUCCGUGAAGUGUUCUUUCAUUCUUGGAUUUCUUUGGGGGAACUGGCACUUGGUUAGGUUUAUAGUUUGUUUUUUCCAUAAGUUUUUUUGUAGAUAUGUUUAGGGGUGCUUUUCCUCUUUAGGCAUGGAUUAUUUUGGGAUGUGCAUUGCGUAGUUCUUUUUUUUCUUUUUUCUUUUAUAAAUUCUGCCCCCUUGAUGGUGUGAAUGAAAAGCACUACUAAAAAAAUAAAGUACACUAGUAUCACUAGUAAUAUGUCAUCAUCGGUGGUACUACAGUUAGAAAAAUGCCUUGGUUUAUGUACUAUAUAGCAAUUUAGUUUAAGGUCAUUUUGGCAUGGUGUGAUAGGGACAAACAUAGAUGAUAUUGAUUUAGUCUCAAGGCUAUUCAAACAAUGACACAGUCAGUGUGGUGUAUUUUUGCAGCUAAAUUUCUAGUUUAUCCUAGAAACUUAUUUUUAUCACAAUGGAGCUGAGCACAGAAUAUUGUGAUGUCCAGGUGGUCGAAAGAGAAGUAGUGGCAUACUUCUUUGUGAUUGUGGUUAUUAUGUUCAAAAGUAGUUCUCCUCAAAUGUUACCUUGAAACUAAAGGGGAAUAUAUUGAAAUGCCAUAGGACGUGAAUAAGAAGUUGUUGAAACUAAGGUGGAAUAUAUUGAAACUAAGGGGGAAUAUAUUGGAUUCAAGCCUCACAGUUUGUAGCCAAGCAUGGAACAUCAUACUAUAAGAAGUUGUUGGAACAGAAUAAGCAGUUAAUAUGGACUCAUUUGAUAUGAAUUUCUCUCUCAGACACUAUGUCACGGCUAUAUCAUAAAUUGUUGAUUAUGCAUUCAAGUGUACACUAUUUUUCACACAAGUAGUUAAUAUGGACUCAUUUGAUAUGAAUUUCUCUCUCAGACACUAUGUAAAUUUUAAAUUAGUGGAGUACAACCCCUUAUAAAAGAGGAAAAUAGCCUCCGAGCCUUAAAACCUUGAACCAUGAUGGCAGAUUAUCAAAAUUGCUCCUCCUUAGUUAUAGUAAGGUGCUUCAGGGCCCUCUCACCUCACCAAAGCACGUAGGCAAUGUACCCCUUUUCCUUUGGCAAACCUAUCAAAUAACAUAUCUUCACGGUUAAGUAUAUAGAUUCUGCAUUUUUUGUUACUAGUAUGAUUGCUGCAUACUAGGGAAAGCCACAUGGACAUUUAAUGUAAUUUUUUUCUCCGACAUCUUGUGCAUUUUUUUUUUAUAGUUUUUCUGUCAUACUUGGUUUAUUGUCAAAAAGUAUACCUGUCUGGAAAAUCUUGCAUACCUUUGCUAGCCAUGACUUGAAAGGCCCAUCCAUGUAUUACUUGUAUGAAAUUUGGAGGUUGUUCUGAGCAAGUGCUUCCAAGUUUCCUACUUCACUGACGUGAUAGGAAUGCAAAGUAAACAGCGUCUGGUAAUCUCUUUCUUUUUGCAGGCAUUCUAGCAUGUCUUGACGGAUAUAUUUUGUACAGUACUGUUUAUUCAUUCUGGUAAUUUUUAUUUUCAAGUCUUGUGAUUAUUCUCCUCACUUUUGUAUCAAGAUGAUACAUGAGACAUCUGUUUAAAUACUUUUUAAUCUUGAUUGUUGCUUAUUAUUUGAACGGUCCAAAAUGAUUAGACUGGAAAUAUUCUGACAGUAGCUGUGUGGAUUUAGAGGCGGGGGAAAUUCUGCAGUAAGUCAUUGUUUUGGCAAGCAAGGAAAGGGCAAUCAUUUGACAUUCUGGUCAAUAAUCUUCACUGUGUACUCAAAUUCAUUGUUUUCAUGCCAACAACUGUGUGGAUUUAGAGGAGAUAUGCUCUUGAUUGCAAUGUAAAUAGCUGCUAAAAGAACAUUUCUAUUCUAGCUUAUUUAGUAUGUAUGUAUAUCACUCGUCAAUUUCGAAAAUGGUAUGACAAUGAUUUUUUCUUGUGGAAAUUACAUUACAAGUGGUUAUAUUUUCAAUAUUUUUAAGUUUGCUGAUUUUAUAUGUAGUGGUACAAGUACAGCUAAACAAGUGGGAGUAUUGAAGCAGUUCAUGAUGGGUCUACAAGUACAGCUAAACAAGCUGGGGAACCCACUACUUCGGCUUCAAAUGGAGGAGUAUCUGUUUGUCUUGUCAGCCUUGUUGCACUAAUCUUUUGAUUAAACAAAACAUUGGGUGGUUGGUAGUUGCUACUUUUUCAAUCAAUAUCUGUAGUCACUGUAAUGUUAGGUGGUUGGUAGUUCAUUCAAUUAUUAUAUUGUAAUGUUGUAAUGUGAAUGAUUU